UGCAGUUACGAACUGCGGCUUGCGGUAGUGGACGAGUCCCGAGUGUAAAGGCCGUUCCCGUUUCUAGACACGUGCGUGCCCAGCCACGCACGUUAUUUCUCCUCCAAAGCCGGCUUCUUCCAUCGAUAUCCCCUUCGACGUGGCUUCUUCGGGGCACGAAGAUGGUGGACGUAACGACAGCCCUGCCCUCCACCAAUGGGAUCUCCCUAAUGGGUCGCACCAAGGGUGCCCUUAAAUCCAUGAAGUCCGCCCUUGGGGGAGGAGGGGAAUACCUUCAGGGCCUGGGGAACCGAAUAGGAUCAGCUCUCAGCAGCAGUUUGGAGGAGAGCGAAAUAACCACGACACCCUCCUCGCCGCCUUCUCCUCCACAUCCGACCAUUCAGGCCUCGAAGGAGCAGGAAAUUGGCCGACGAAAGCUCCGACUUCCGAGAUUUGGAGCUGGCCUGUCGUACGAGGAUUACCAGGCGAUCGCCCGUUGUAAAAUUGAGCGACAGGCGAAUAAUGCAAAAUUGACCAGAGCAUUGAAAAAUUAUCCUGGCAUGUCCUACGAGGAGAUCACCUCUUCCAGAUCAACGCCGAAGAAGGAGCCGAGGAAAGAAGAAGAAGUAAGCGACCAAGAUAGUCCAGAAAGUAUAGAGCCUCUCCAAGAAAAGGACAUCAAAGCCACCGGUCCAGAUCCCUAUGAGAAAUUAAAUUUCAAAAUAGACAUACCGUGCAGCAGUGAAUCCACUAGUGACCAGGACGGCGUCGGACCAAGUACGAGUUUGGAGUCCAAUAUGGAUUGCCGUAGGGUAUGGCAGAGAUCAGGCUCGUCUAGUUCGGUCCAAUCUUGGGCUUCCAGUUUAUCAGCCGACAGUCAAUCCGAGGAAGCUGCUGCCGAAUUUAUGAAGACCUUUGUUCCUCUGUUGUUCGAAGCUCCAGAUUCCGUGGAACAGGAGCAAAAAGCGAGUUUCGGCCAAAUGGUGCUUACGGAGUCCGGCAGAGUAUGGUUCUCCAGGGUGGUGAACGCAAGAAGAGCACACGCAUGCGUAUCGGAAGCCUCUUUUUACUCCCUGGCACAGCAUUUUGCUGUCGCCCUUUUUGAGUGCCACGAAGCCGAUGAUUUUGCACCGGCGAAAAGUCUAAUGAACAUGUGCUUCACAUUUUACCACGAAGUCGAAGUUCCAGGAUUGGAGCCUUAUCGUGAGUAUUUGUACACGCAUUUACGCGUGCAACCUAUAUGGACGUCGAUGCGUUUUUGGACGGCUGCGUUUUUUGACGCCGUUCAAUGCGAAAGGGCGACUAGACCAGUUCCUAGGAGAUCUAAAUCUUUGGAUAGAGAGGCCGUUGCUGCCGAUGACAGGAAGUUCCAGGCCAACAUAGUGUUUGGCCAACUUGGAACCUUCACUUGCAACAUGCAUGCUUUCGGUCUGUCGAGAGCACUUUGCCUGGAGUUCCUGAGGAAGCAGUGCGAGAUUGCAAAUUUAACAAUAGAUCAAGAGAAAAUGCUGCGCGACAACAUCGAAAGGAUGUACGACGAAACUGAGCCUUGGAGGCAAUGAGGAAGUUGAUAAGGCCAAGUUUCACGAUAAAGAGCUCGAAUUGACUGAACUUGGUGGUUUGAAAGGACGAUAAGGGAUUGCGAUACUUACACGACUCGGAGAAGGGCGCGUUAAAAUACUUUGGCACGUUCAAGAUAGGAUGGAGAAGUGCAUAAUUCUAAUAUGCAUUUUAUUGAUAAGCUGAGAAAGAAUCGGAAGGGAAAAAACGAGACGAAAAAUCAUAGCCUUCCACCGUGUGCAUAAUUUUAAUAACUAGUCUAGAUCAAUCUCUAAAUCGAGUUAGUCUCGUUUAGAAGGAAAAGUGCGCGGAGGAUAUUUAUUUAACGGGGUUACGUUUAUUUAAACUUAACGUUGCAUUUUUACUGUCAUUAUUUUUCUAUUCGAGAGGGCCAUAACGCUAAAUGAGUCGUAGUACCGAGUUUCGUGGGAAUUUGUGGCCUGGAAUAUAUAUAUAAGAAAGAAAUUGCGGAAUUUCCGGGUACGACGAUAACGUGUAAUUAUUGAUAAGGCCUAGAUAAGUGUAUAUAUGUAUACAUGUCGAGAUGUGCAGCGGUACCCGUCCUGUAGAAAUAAUCAGGAAACAGUUUCCUAUCCUGAUCGUGACAAUGUCUCUCAAGUAAGUCUAUCUAGCUGAGACUAAUUGUCUUUUUUCUUUUUUUUUUUUAAUACUUUAAGAUUUAUGUACAUACGACUACGGUGAAGAUUUCCUUGAGAAGAAAUUGCGCUCUUUUUCGAGUCUAAUCGGAUAAACUAAUCGGAGCGGACGACGUAAGAAUUGUUUAAAAAUCGUGCAACUAAUUGGACGGUGCAAUUAUAUUAAUUACAUUAAUUAGUAUGGGUCCAUAUACGAGACGUCUCCUGAAAGUUUAAAUUAAGAGGGAUUUUAUUAGAUCCUUUAAUUGAGGAAAUCCUAAUUUAGAUCUUCUGGGACAAUUGUUGAGCCCAGCUGACUUCAGGGUAAAAAACAUGUUUAUAUUGUCGCUAGUUUCUUUUGCGGCAACGUGCACAAUGGGUAAUCCAGACGUUUCUUGUUCAAGAAAUCUCAUGGCUCCAAUAAAAUUGAUUUUAUAACAAUCAGCAUCCCUUCUUUCGAACGGACAUCCACUUUUUGUCCCUCUUAUUUUUUAUAUGUCAUUUUGUCAGGAUUGACAGGGAAGGGACGGCGAACAAUCAUUUUAACUACGUUUUGUCGAGUCUGCAUUUAAAUGGAUUUUUGCAUACUUAGUGGAUAUGAAAAACACCAGUUCAGUAGAUUAAACGAGAUCGAUGUGCCAUUAAUAUUUUUUACUUUUAGUAAUUUAUUCGCUGUCUAUUCUCAAACUUCCUGGAUUUUUUUUUAAUUGUUUUGUUUUGUCUGUUCUUUUGUGCCCCUUUCCAGAUUUAGGUGGACCACUUUACCGGAUCCAUUUUUUUUUUUCAAGACAUGUUCAUCGCCGCGGAGCUUCUUGGACUUGUUGGUAAAAGGUGUUCAAAGAUGUUAAGGAUGUUUAUCAUUCUCUCCCUCUCUUUCUCUCACUCUUUCUCUCACCCUUUCUCCCUCUAAUGCUAUACGAAAUGAUUAUUACAAUAUCAUAAUAUAUAAUAUAUUCUACAUUACAUUACUAAGUUCGAAAAAUAAUAUUACAAUAUAUAGUGUGUGUAUGCGUGUGAGUGUGUGUCCGUGUAUUAUCAAUUAAUCUUCGUUCUCCUUCGCUUUCCCUCUCGUUCCUUAAUAUAAAUCCGUUGUUACCACUUUUCCUAACAUGCCGCCAUCUUUUAACCCUUAUUCGUUGGAAUUUGAGAAUCCCGGUCUUAUUGGUUAUCUCUGGGCUCGUUAAACAAUGAAAAAUGGACCCAAAACGGGAACACGAUGCUGAACGACAAAAGCGAGGUCCAAUGAUUUUGGGACCUUGCUUUCACGUGUAUUAGUAAUGGAUUGCCUAUUGUUGUAAAAGGUUUGCAUUUUAGUAGGUGAAAAUGAUAAUCUUGCCUCGGAUUCCGAUUUUUCACUGCGAAACGGGCUUUCGGGCCUCGCAAUUGUCUUCAAGAUGGCCGCGCAUACGCGUGCGUAUUAACAGAAAAGGCCCAACACAAAGGGAAAGUACAGAAUCACCGACUGGUAGGCCAAAAUGUCUGCAACAAAAGUCUCUUUAUUCGUUGGUCGUUACUUUAGAAUCGGCAAGAGGUUCGCCAGUGCGUGCGAGGAUUAAAACAUACGUUUGAUUAACUAAAACGAGCCUAAACCGCGGGAACAUCGUGCAACAUGGCGUCCGACACGUACCUCCGAAUUAUCACUUUUAUUAUAUAAAAACCCUCUCUGUGCCGCACGCACGUUGCACGCGUGUCCCUUAUAUCAAAGAUACGAGUUCGUUUCACCGUUUACAAUUUAAGAUGGAUGCUUUUAUUAACGCACACACGUAUACGUAUAUUUCUUCAACGGUGAAUGGUAGUCUAAACGCUUCGCUCGUCUGCCCAGAGGAAGUCUCCACGAGACGCGCGGCCGCCAUUUUGAAAAGACCGCACGGCCCAUUAAACUGAAUAACAAAACUCGAGUUUACAUCAUUAUCUGAACGUUAAAACUUGUACACGAUACUAAACAAGUUGCGGCACCUUACACUGCGUCAACUUAUCGUUAAAAAUCGCCAAAUUAUCGCAAGAUUCUCCGAUUACUAAACUUAGAACAUCCGAGGUGGAGGCGGCGCUGUCGCCGCCGCCAUGUUGGAUCAUCUUACGUCCGCAUAUCGCACUCCACAUAGUAAACGCCAAAUUAUUCAAGGGUGUAACAACGAAAUCACGCAAAAUACAUGGAUAAUCAGUGCGAAGCGGUACUUCGCGGGAAAAAUAACGCAUAAGUAGAGUUAUGGAAAACUCGGCGGUCUCUUGGAGACGAUCUCGAGCAGGUCACGCUAUCCGCACAUAAGUCGUUGAAACUGCACAUAAGUAGUCUUACGAUCGUGUAGAGUGUACUCGUGUGUAAAUGUAAAACCGCUAGGCGCUUUCUUCAUUUAAUUUGAAUAACAACCAUUUUUUUUUGUUUCAUUUGUUUCACUAAAUAUAUCACAAACUGCCGGUGGUCUACGCAGCCUUCGAAUUAACGCUAAACCCUUAUAUCGCGCACGCGCUAACCGAUUACAAUAAUUGUUCGUGUACGUCGACUUCGUAUGGUAGUAUUUCUUUUUUUUUUCUCCUUUAAUAUUCGUUUUGUUGGAGGACGCGGGAAAGGGGUGGAGGAAAGGGUUUAGAGGGACGGGGUGCAUCCCUUUAAUCUCGCAGGCUCGAGUGACCGUGGUUCUCUCAGUCUUUUUGUAUUAUCACGAUUAAACCGUUUAGCGUCAACUUUCGAACGCUACCACCGGAAAAAUAUAACGUUAAGGGGUUACAUGUUAAUAGUUACAUCACUGUCGGGCAGCGCUGAGAUCUCCCAGCCUUUGGAUUUAGGAUCCAAGAACGAUCCUAGAUCCUCGGCCGGCGAUCCAAGAUGGCGCGCGCCCGACAUAAGGUUAGUUUAAAUGUCGAACUAGUAGUUUCUGCAUUAUUAUGCUGCCACAGAAGACUCUCUUUAUCCUUAAAGUGUAAAUACCUUUAUAAAUUCAUAAUCUUAAACCUUAGGUGAUUCUUUAGAGUUCCGAUAGGGGUAGUUCUUUAAGUGCUUGCAUUUUCUUUCUUUCUUUUUUUUUUGUGUGUGUGUGUUAUUUACUUCGUAGGUUACCUUAGUUUUCGUUUAGUUUAAUUUAGACUUCGCGUGUUGGGUUCACGUUACCUAUCUUUUCUUUUUUUUUUCUCUCUCUCUCUUUCUCUCGAAAACUUGUAGUCAAGGGGGGCGAUGAUAUUGUGUUAGGGGCUAGGGGAAGGGAGGGAGGCCGGCUUUUUUGGGUCGUGGAAGAGAGCCAAUUUGGAAAAUAGUACUUUUGCGAGCUGUGUACAUAUAUAUUUAUUUGUAUACUUGUAUAUGGACCUUAGGUGGAACUUAUCUCCUUUAGGUGGUACGCACUGUGUACUUUUUCGAAAUAAAGGAAGAACGGAAGGGUGGACUUGGAUUUUUACGUGCUGAUUGUAGAAAUGGAGAUGUACCUUGUGCCAGUAGAUAUUGUUAACUAAUCGGACGUCAUUCUGGCGAUUCGGAUAAAAACCCAAUGUUCUAUUUUUACAAUUUUCUUCUUUAUUGCCGUGUGCUUUGUCUUUCUGCUCUUCCGGCACAGCGUAAAUAUAUUCUCCGUGUUAUUAAAUAUUUCUCGAGGAAGUGAUUUGCAACGACGCGUUUAACGUGACUCGGAAAGCCGGAAUUCUGUCGGCGAUAUAAUAAAUAUAAGAAUUGCUGUUAACAAUGUACAUUGUAGGUGUGGUGUUGUUGUUAGAAUCGUUACUUUCAAAAAUCGAUGUCAGUCUUUUGUUACCGUCAAUUUGGAGGUUAUUACAAUAUAUUCGGGUGUUCGUUGUUGGUUAAGUUAGGCUUGUGGUUGUUUAUUAAGUUAGUGAAUACAAGAAGAUGACCGCAGUGCUAAAUGAAGUAGUGUGACGUGACUGUGUUCCCAGUUUUCGUUAAAUCCCGCCUAAACGGUGCAUCUAAAGGAAAUAUGUUUCGAACAAAACCUGCGGCACGUUAUGAAUCGAACAACUUUCAUUACAAACAAUUUUUCAUUCGAAGUGCGGUUACGACAGAAAAUCGUAAUAUUCGACACCGUGACGCCAAACAUUUGAAAUUCCUGGAGUACAAGUACACCUUUAAAAUUCCAUUACGAAUGUUCCGAAAAUUCCCGUGCAUUCGAAAAUAAAAAUUCAAAGCGCUAAAAUACCGGGGUUAACGCAUUAAUUGCCCAGAGAUUCGCGAACAAAGAUACUACUAUGUUCCUAGAGGAAACAGUUGAGAAGAAACGGAAAUCAUGUAAGAGACUUCAAUGUUAACUAUCAGAAAGCAAAGAUACUCCUUGUAAAUUAAUAUCACAGAGACAACUAACACAGUAUAUAGUAGAUUUGCAAUUUUUCUCACAUAAAAUAUGAAUUAUAAACCCAUACAAUACAUUUAAGCAUUAAAGAUGGAGUGAUCGGUACGAGCUCUCAAUUAAAAAAAAAAA
This 6592-nucleotide unclassified non-coding RNA is filed under the name Orussus abietinus. RNAcentral describes it as "uncharacterized protein KIAA0513, transcript variant X1". The record is from RNAcentral. Lineage: Eukaryota; Metazoa; Arthropoda; Insecta; Hymenoptera; Orussidae.